RNAcentral lists this long non-coding RNA (1335 nucleotides) under Macaca fascicularis (crab-eating macaque). RNAcentral describes it as "lncRNA (ENSMFAG00000050662.1)". Lineage: Eukaryota; Metazoa; Chordata; Mammalia; Primates; Cercopithecidae. The record is from RNAcentral.
AAUUGAAGAGAGUUAGGGCCUUGCUCUGGAUUAGGCUUUGGCUUAAGGGAAUGUUGUGGCUGGUUUGAUCUUCUGUCCAGACCACUCAAACUUUCUCCUUCUCAGCAGUAGGGCUGUGUGCUUCCUUGUGGUUCACUGGAGUCGCACCUUAAGUUUCCUUCAUGAACUUGUCCUUGGCAUCCACAACUCGGCUAACUGUCCGGUGCAAGAGGCCUCGCUCUUGGCCUGUGUCAGCUUUUCACAUGCCUUCCUCACUAAGCUUAAUCAUUUCUAGCUUUUGGGUUAAAGUGAAAGACCUGCAAUUCUUCCUUUCACUCAAACACUUAGAGGCCAUUGUAGGGUUACAAAUUGGCCUAAUUUCAAUGUUCUCAUGUCUCCGAAAAUAGAGAGGCCCAAGGAGAGGGAGGGGGUAGAGGAAGGGCUGGCUGGUGGAGCAGUCAGAACACAUCCAGCAUUUAUCCAGCAAGUUUGCUGUCUCAUGUGGGCACGGUUUGUGGUGCCCCAAAACAAUUACAAUAGUAAAUAACAUCACAGAUCCCUGAUCACAGAUCACCAUAUAUCAUAAGUAAUGAAAAUCUUUGAAAUCCUGAAUUACCAAAAUGUGACAGAGACACAGAGUGAGCACAUGUGCUGUUGGAAAAAUGACUCCCAUAGAUUUGUUUGACUCAAGGUUGCCACAAACCUUGGUGUUACUCAAUGUUACAAGGAUUUUUUAAAAUUUCAGUUUAAUAUAAUUUGGGUGAAUUAUAUAGAAGAAAAUUGAUAGUUUAAGUUUAUAUUCUUCUACAUGCAACAUUGAGUAACCUGACUCUGGUAUUUAGAGAGUAGUUACUUUUAUAUCAAAUGAUAUUAGGAAUGUACUUUCUCUUUUCCUCCCAAAUGUUUGAUUAUUCAUAAAUUAAAGGCAAUCCAGGUACACUUCAGUUCCUUGAAUAAUUGUUCCUGAAGUGUGUGGGAUGAAUGUUUGUAAAUUAAAUCAGGUUUUUCUAUUGAGCAGCUUUAUUACAACUUUGGAAAUAUUUAUCUUAUUUGAUUCUUGAUCUUCAAGAUUCCCACGCACCUUCACAUUUCCCAGCACACACAGUCACAUACACACACACGCUCACACAUGCUCAUACACUCACAUACAUGCUCACACACAUACACACUCACACACAUGCUCACACACUCAUACACUCACACAUACAUGCUCACACACUCACAAAUAUGCACUCACACUCACCCACACACAUUCUCACACACACACACGUUCACACACAUACUCGCACAUGCAUGCUCACACACAUAUACUCAAAACACAUGCUCACACAUAUUUACAUACACACACACUCACAC